RNAcentral lists this ribosomal RNA (548 nucleotides) under uncultured bacterium. RNAcentral describes it as "bacterial SSU rRNA". It matches the Rfam family "Bacterial small subunit ribosomal RNA", at positions 355 to 896 of the family's 1533-position model. The record is from RNAcentral.
UGGGGAAUCUUGGACAAUGGGGGAAACCCUNNUCCAGCAAUGCCGCGUGUGCGAAGAAGGCCUUCGGGUUGUAAAGCACUUUUGUCUGGGAAGAAAUGGUUUGAGCUAAUACCUCAAAUCGAUGACAGUACCAGAAGAAUAAGCACCGGCUAACUACGUGCCAGCAGCCGCGGUAAUACGUAGGGUGCGAGCGUUAAUCGGAAUUAUUGGGCGUAAAGGGUGCGCAGGCGGUUUUUUAAGUCAGAUGUGAAAUCCCCGAGCUUAACUUGGGAACUGCAUUUGAAACUGAAAGACUAGAGUGUGCGAGAGGGGGGUGGAAUUCCGCGUGUAGCAGUGAAAUGCGUAGAUAUGCGGAGGAACAUCAAUGGCGAAGGCAGCCCCCUGGCGUAACACUGACGCUCAUGCACGAAAGCGUGGGGAGCAAACAGGAUUAGAUACCCUGGUAGUCCACGCCCUAAACGAUGUCUACUGGUUGUUGGGCCUUUUCUGGUUCAGUAACGAAGCUAACGCGUGAAGUAGACCGCCUGGGGAGUACGGUCGCAAGAUUA